Molecule: ribosomal RNA, 510 nt
Filed under: Chiasmocleis crucis
Lineage: Eukaryota; Metazoa; Chordata; Amphibia; Anura; Microhylidae
Description: partial small subunit ribosomal RNA
Rfam family: Bacterial small subunit ribosomal RNA
Source: RNAcentral
AGCCCUUAUGUCAUCUAUUGCCAAUCUUACACAUGCAAGUAUCUGCACACCCGUGAAAACGCCCUCAACCCCUUAACCAAGGAAGAGGAGUUGGUAUCAGGCACAACCAAUAAGCCCACGACACCUAGCCACGCCACACCCACAAGGGUAUUCAGCAGUGAUAAACAUUGUUUAUAAGCGUCAGCUUGAAUCAGUUAAGGCAAAGAGGGCCGGCAAAUCCGGUGCCAGCCGCCGCGGCUACACCGUUAGGCCCAAGUUGACACACACCGGCGUUAAGCGUGAUUAGAGUGAUUACACAGAUUAGAGUUAAACCCAAAUUUAGUCGUGAUACACUUGUCCCCGGGAAACCCAAAAACGAAAGUUACUCUAACCAACCCACUUGACCCCACGACAGCUAAGACACAAACUGGGAUUAGGUACCCCACUAUGCCGAGCCGUAAAACAUAUACUCACCCCAACAAAUCGCCAGGGAAUUACGAGCCCAAGCUUAAAACCCAAAGGACUUGACGG